AGCAGCCGCGGUAAUUCCAGCUCCAAUAGCGUAUAUUAAAGUUGUUGCAGUUAAAAGCUCGUAGUUGAAUUUCGGGGUUAGUAGGUUGGUCAUGCCUCUGGUAUGUACUGGUCUCACUGAUUCCUCCUUCCUGAUGAACCUUAAUGCCAUUAAUUUGGUGUUUUGGGGAAUUUGGACUGUUACUUUGAAAAAUUAGAGUGUUUAAAGCAAGCUAACGCUUGAAUACAUUAGCAUGGAAUAAUGAAAUAGGACGUUCGAUCCUAUUUUGUUGGUUUCUAGGAUUGACGUAAUGAUUAAUAGGGAUAGUUGGGGGCAUUAGUAUUCAAUUGUCAGAGGUGAAAUUCUUGGAUUUAUUGAAGACUAACUACUGCGAAAGCAUUUGCCAAGGAUGUUUUCAUUAAUCAAGAACGAAAGUUAGGGGAUCGAAGACGAUCAGAUACCGUCGUAGUCUUAACCAUAAACUAUGCCGACUAGGGAUCGGAUGAUGUUAAUUUUUAAUGACUCAUUCGGCGCCUUACGG
RNAcentral lists this unclassified non-coding RNA (520 nucleotides) under uncultured Glomus. Its description in RNAcentral is "SSU rRNA". It matches the Rfam family "Eukaryotic small subunit ribosomal RNA", at positions 569 to 1093 of the family's 1831-position model. The record is from RNAcentral. Lineage: Eukaryota; Fungi; Glomeromycota; Glomeromycetes; Glomerales; Glomeraceae.